UACGAAGGGGGCUAGCGUUGUUCGGAAUCACUGGGCGUAAAGCGCAUGUAGGCGGAUCUUUAAGUCAGGGGUGAAAUCCCGAGGCUCAACCUCGGAACUGCCUUUGAUACUGGGGAUCUCGAGUCCGGGAGAGGUGAGUGGAACUGCGAGUGUAGAGGUGAAAUUCGUAGAUAUUCGCAAGAACACCAGUGGCGAAGGCGGCUCACUGGCCCGGAACUGACGCUGAGGUGCGAAAGCGUGGGGAGCAAACAGG
Molecule: ribosomal RNA, 253 nt
Filed under: uncultured bacterium
Lineage: Bacteria
Description: partial 16S ribosomal RNA
Rfam family: Bacterial small subunit ribosomal RNA
Source: RNAcentral